UCGUGCGCGUCGAACCAGUGAACCAACCAACCCAACCAGCGCUCUACGCCAACUAACGGUUAAAGAACACAGUUUUUGAAAUCAAACAAGCCAAAAAAAUUAAAUAAAGAAAUAAAAAAACUAAUGACCUCUCUAUUUCUUGUUCGAGUGUUUUUCUUAUCAGAAAAAAAGAGUUUCAACAAUAAUUCGCCUUUUUCUGUUGCAAUUUAAUUGACAAAGUUUUAAGAAUUUAGCGCUGUGCGUGUUUCCAACAUUGACUUGUCUGACAAAUUUCGAUUACAGUUAGAAUUUUCAGUGCACAUAAGACAAAAAACAAAUUCAAGUUUAUCAAUUCGUCGCAUCGCGCUAUAAACGGUAAACGUGCGUUAAUCUAAUUUGUAUUUAAUCUAUUUGCCAUCGCUGAAAAGUAACAACAGCCAGUUCACUCUGCUGCUGCUUGUGUACAUG
Molecule: long non-coding RNA, 447 nt
Organism: Drosophila arizonae
Lineage: Eukaryota; Metazoa; Arthropoda; Insecta; Diptera; Drosophilidae
Gene: sNPF
Source: RefSeq, a predicted model, not a curated record